The sequence is a small nuclear RNA, 189 nucleotides long. Its record names the gene U2. It matches the Rfam family "U2 spliceosomal RNA". Rfam says of the family: U2 is a small nuclear RNA (snRNA) component of the spliceosome (involved in pre-mRNA splicing). Complementary binding between U2 snRNA (in an area lying towards the 5' end but 3' to hairpin I) and the branchpoint sequence (BPS) of the intron results the bulging out of an unpaired adenosine, on the BPS, which initiates a nucleophilic attack at the intronic 5' splice site, thus starting the first of two transesterification reactions that mediate splicing. The record is from Ensembl.
AUAUCGCCGGCCUUUUGGCUAAGAUCAAGUGUAGUAUCUGUUCUUAUCAGUUUAAUAUCUGAUAAACAAAAUGAACCCGGGGACCAUAUAUUAAAUUGAUUUUGGAACUGGGAGAUGGAAAAGGGCUUGCCCUCUUCCACUCCACGCAUCGACCUGGUAAGCAGUACCUCCAGGACCGGUGCACCCUCU